This is a small nuclear RNA of Equus asinus (donkey), 125 nucleotides long. The record is from Ensembl. NCBI's taxonomy places the organism in Eukaryota, Metazoa, Chordata, Mammalia, Perissodactyla, Equidae.
AUAGUGCAUGAAAAGAGCGAAGGUUAGCACUCCCUUGACAAGUAUGGAAGAGGCCCUUGGGCCUGACGACAAGUAUAUGGUUAAGGCAUUGCCACCGAUUUUGUGGCAUCUAAUCAUCAUUUUUU